UCUGAUGGGAUUUUCUAUGAAGGCAAUGAGGAAAUGGUUCAUCUUGCUUCCAAGGAAAUAGGAUGCCAGGUCUAUUCUAACACUCUCCCAUGAUAAUACUGCAGAGAUAGGAAAUAGAUUGAAAUUUUUUUCUGGUUUGACUGUGUGCAUGUGUGUUAUGUAUUGAUUUUUUAAAAAUCAUUUGUUUAGUAAAUAAAAAAACUGGUAG
Molecule: long non-coding RNA, 208 nt
Filed under: Homo sapiens (human)
Lineage: Eukaryota; Metazoa; Chordata; Mammalia; Primates; Hominidae
Description: non-protein coding lnc-ARL4A-6:1
Source: RNAcentral